Pteronotus mesoamericanus is the source of this 134-nucleotide small nucleolar RNA. The record is from RefSeq and is a predicted model, not a curated record. NCBI's taxonomy places the organism in Eukaryota, Metazoa, Chordata, Mammalia, Chiroptera, Mormoopidae.
GUCCAAAGCAUUGAGUUCGAUUCGGGGCGGCUUCCCUGUUCUGUUAAUUAAACUUUGGGACAUUGGAACACAAGCUAGGGGAGACGAUCGGACAGAAAGCAAGGCUCUAUUCGCUUACCUCCCAGUCCACAAAA